Molecule: transfer RNA, 74 nt
Filed under: Lachnospiraceae bacterium XBD2001
Lineage: Bacteria; Bacillati; Bacillota; Clostridia; Lachnospirales; Lachnospiraceae
Also listed under: 1 other name
Rfam family: tRNA
About the family: Transfer RNA (tRNA) molecules are approximately 80 nucleotides in length.
Source: Rfam by way of RNAcentral
GGCCCAGUGGCUCAGUUGGUUAGAGCGCCGCCCUGUCACGGCGGAGGUCCUCGGUUCAAGUCCGUGCUGGGUCG